CCUANGGGUGGCAGCAGUGGGGAAUAUUGCGCAAUGGGCGAAAGCCUGACGCAGCCACGCCGCGUGGGUGAUGAAGGCCUUCGGGUUGUAAAGCCCUGUCGGGAGGGACGAAGUCCGCAAGGAUUGACGGUACCUCGCAAGAAAGCACCGGCUAACUCCGUGCCAGCAGCCGCGGUAAUACGGAGGGUGCAAGCGUUGCUCGGAUUUAUUGGGCGUAAAGCGCACGCAGGCGGUAUGACAAGUCGGAUGUGAAAUCCCUGGGCUCAACCCAGGACGUGCAUUCGAAACUGGCAUGCUUGAGUUCGAGAGAGGGAAGCAGAAUUCCUGGUGUAGAGGUGAAAUUCGUAGAUAUCAGGAGGAACACCGGUGGCGAAAGCGGCUUCCUGGCUCGACACUGACGCUCAUGUGCGAAAGCGUGGGGAGCAAACAGGAUUAGAUACCCCGNUANUC
This 450-nucleotide ribosomal RNA is filed under the name uncultured bacterium. Its description in RNAcentral is "bacterial SSU rRNA". It matches the Rfam family "Bacterial small subunit ribosomal RNA", at positions 338 to 795 of the family's 1533-position model. The record is from RNAcentral.